GGCCAGAGACCGAACGUUAGUCGUCCUAAUCAGGCGUAAAGGGUGUGUAGGCUGCUUUCAAAUCCUAUCUUUCAAAUAGCUAUUAUAACGAAGAUCUGUUUAAAGGGAGUACACUUUAAAUAUCUCUUAUAAGUUCAGAUAGGAUGAAUAAAAGCUAGAAUCAAAACGAGGAUAAGCCAAAUAAUACUUAGAGUAGGGUUGAUAUCCGUAGAUACUAAGUGGAAUACUAACAGUGAAAACUAUUUAUCUAGAAAUGAUUGACGCUGAGAAACGAAGGUGAGAAUAGGAAAUAGGAUUAGAUACCCAGAUACCUCUCACUGUUAACGAUGAAUGGUGGUUUGUUAGUUUAUAGAGGAACUAGUAACGAUGCUAACGCGAACAA
This 382-nucleotide ribosomal RNA is filed under the name Termitomyces sp. RNAcentral describes it as "partial small subunit ribosomal RNA". It matches the Rfam family "Bacterial small subunit ribosomal RNA", at positions 525 to 864 of the family's 1533-position model. Lineage: Eukaryota; Fungi; Basidiomycota; Agaricomycetes; Agaricales; Lyophyllaceae. The record is from RNAcentral.